AUUCCAGCUCCAAUAGUGUAUAUUAAAGUUGUUGCAGUUAAAAAGCUCGUAGUUGGAUUUCUGGCGGGAGCGAUCGGUCCUUCACUCAGUGUUGGAACCUGAUUGUCUCCUGCCAUCCAUGGAGAAAACUUAUCUGGCAUUAAGUUGUCGGGUAGGCAAUCUCCAUCUUUUACUGUGAAAAAAUUAGAGUGUUCAAAGCAGGCUUAUGCCGUUGAAUAUAUUAGCAUGGAAUAAUAAGAUAGGACUAUGGUACUAUUUUGUUGGUUUGCAUACCAAAUUAAUGAUCAACAGGAACAGUUUGAGGAUAUUCGUAUGAACAUGUCAGAGGUAAAAUCCUUGGAUUUUGAUCAGACGAACUACUGCGAAAGCAUUUAUCAAGGAUGUUUUCAUUA
This 392-nucleotide ribosomal RNA is filed under the name Rhizosolenia sp. RNAcentral's name for it is "partial small subunit ribosomal RNA". It matches the Rfam family "Eukaryotic small subunit ribosomal RNA", at positions 582 to 975 of the family's 1831-position model. Lineage: Eukaryota; Bacillariophyta; Coscinodiscophyceae; Rhizosoleniales; Rhizosoleniaceae. The record is from RNAcentral.